RNAcentral lists this ribosomal RNA (478 nucleotides) under uncultured bacterium. RNAcentral describes it as "partial 16S ribosomal RNA". It matches the Rfam family "Bacterial small subunit ribosomal RNA", at positions 28 to 523 of the family's 1533-position model. The record is from RNAcentral.
GACGAACGCUGGCGGCGUGCUUAACACAUGCAAGUCGAACGGUAAGGCCCUUCGGGGUACACGAGUGGCGAACGGGUGAGUAACACGUGGGUGAUCUGCCCUGCACUUCGGGAUAAGCCUGGGAAACUGGGUCUAAUACCGGAUAGGACUCCUGGCCUCAUGGGUGGGGGUGGAAAGCUUUUGCGGUGUGGGAUGGGCCCGCGGCCUAUCAGCUUGUUGGUGGGGUAAUGGCCGAACAAGGCGACGACGGGUAGCCGGCCCGAGAGGGUGACCGGGCACACUCGAACUGAGAUACGGCCCAGACUCCUACGGGGGGCAGCAGUGGGGAAUAUUGCACAAUGGGCGCAAGCCUGAUGCAGCGACGCCGCGUGAGGGAUGACGGCCUUCGGGUUGUAAACCUCUUUCAGCUAUGACGAAGCGCAAGUGACGGUAGUAGCAGAAGAAGGACCGGCCAACUACGUGCCAGCCGCCGCGGUAA